ACCGGCAGCUCAAGUGGUGGCCAUUAUUAUUGGGCCUAAAGCGUUCGUAGCCGGUUUGAUAAGUCUCUGGUGAAAUCCCGCAGCUUAACUGUGGGACUUGCUGGAGAUACUAUCAGACUUGAGGUCGGGAGAGGUUAGGGGUACUCCCAGUGGUGGCGGAAAAGGCGCGAAGCUGGGGAGGAGAAACUACCGCGGGGGCGGCGAACGUGUUUAAUCCUCUUGUGAGUCUGGUUGGUUUUUUGUUUCGAUAGA
Molecule: ribosomal RNA, 252 nt
Filed under: uncultured prokaryote
Description: partial 16S rRNA
Rfam family: Archaeal small subunit ribosomal RNA
Source: RNAcentral